This 894-nucleotide ribosomal RNA is filed under the name Ectopseudomonas mendocina. Its description in RNAcentral is "bacterial SSU rRNA". It matches the Rfam family "Bacterial small subunit ribosomal RNA", at positions 49 to 940 of the family's 1533-position model. The record is from RNAcentral. Lineage: Bacteria; Pseudomonadati; Pseudomonadota; Gammaproteobacteria; Pseudomonadales; Pseudomonadaceae.
CUACCAUGCAGUCGAGCGGAUGAAGGGAGCUUGCUCCAUGAUUUAGCGGCGGACGGGUGAGUAAUGCCUAGGAAUCUGCCUGGUAGUGGGGGAUAACGUUCCGAAAGGAACGCUAAUACCGCAUACGUCCUACGGGAGAAAGCAGGGGACCUUCGGGCCUUGCGCUAUCAGAUGAGCCUAGGUCGGAUUAGCUAGUUGGUGAGGUAAUGGCUCACCAAGGCGACGAUCCGUAACUGGUCUGAGAGGAUGAUCAGUCACACUGGAACUGAGACACGGUCCAGACUCCUACGGGAGGCAGCAGUGGGGAAUAUUGGACAAUGGGCGAAAGCCUGAUCCAGCCAUGCCGCGUGUGUGAAGAAGGUCUUCGGAUUGUAAAGCACUUUAAGUUGGGAGGAAGGGCAUUAACCUAAUACGUUAGUGUUUUGACGUUACCAACAGAAUAAGCACCGGCUAACUUCGUGCCAGCAGCCGCGGUAAUACGAAGGGUGCAAGCGUUAAUCGGAAUUACUGGGCGUAAAGCGCGCGUAGGUGGUUCGUUAAGUUGGAUGUGAAAGCCCCGGGCUCAACCUGGGAACUGCAUCCAAAACUGGCGAGCUAGAGUACGGUAGAGGGUGGUGGAAUUUCCUGUGUAGCGGUGAAAUGCGUAGAUAUAGGAAGGAACACCAGUGGCGAAGGCGACCACCUGGACUGAUACUGACACUGAGGUGCGAAAGCGUGGGGAGCAAACAGGAUUAGAUACCCUGGUAGUCCACGCCGUAAACGAUGUCAACUAGCCGUUGGAAUCCUUGAGGUUUUAGUGGCGCAGCUAACGCAUUAAGUUGACCGCCUGGGGAGUACGGCCGCAAGGUUAAAACUCAAAUGAAUUGACGGGGGCCCGCACAAGCGGUGGAGCAU